GAUGAAGAACGUAGUGAAAUGCGAUACGUAAUGUGAAUUGCAGAAUUCAGUGAAUCAUCGAAUCUUUGAACGCAUAUUGCGCUCUCUGGUAUUCCGGAGAGCAUGCUUGUUUGAGUAUCAGUAAACACCUCAACUCCCUUUUCUUUUUUGAAAUUGGAGCGGGACUUGAGUGAUCCCAACGCUUUCUUCCAAGAAAGUGGCGGGUUGCUUGAAAUGCAGGUGCAGCUGAACUUUUCUCUGAGCUAUAAGCAUAUCUAUUUAGUCUGCCUAAAAAACAGAUUAUUACCUUUGCUGCAGCUAACAUAAAGGAGACUAGUUCUUGUGCUGACUGAUGCAGGAUUCACAGAGACAGCUUCGGCUGACUUUGUAAACUCGAUCUCAAAUCAAGUAAGACUACCCGCUGAACUUAAGCAUAUCAAUAAGCGGAGGA
Molecule: unclassified non-coding RNA, 430 nt
Filed under: soil metagenome
Description: partial contains 5.8S ribosomal RNA, internal transcribed spacer 2, and large subunit ribosomal RNA
Rfam family: 5.8S ribosomal RNA (bases 1-120)
Source: RNAcentral